This 1540-nucleotide ribosomal RNA is filed under the name Klebsiella pneumoniae. Its description in RNAcentral is "bacterial SSU rRNA". It matches the Rfam family "Bacterial small subunit ribosomal RNA". The record is from RNAcentral. Lineage: Bacteria; Pseudomonadati; Pseudomonadota; Gammaproteobacteria; Enterobacterales; Enterobacteriaceae.
AAAUUGAAGAGUUUGAUCAUGGCUCAGAUUGAACGCUGGCGGCAGGCCUAACACAUGCAAGUCGAGCGGUAGCACAGAGAGCUUGCUCUCGGGUGACGAGCGGCGGACGGGUGAGUAAUGUCUGGGAAACUGCCUGAUGGAGGGGGAUAACUACUGGAAACGGUAGCUAAUACCGCAUAAUGUCGCAAGACCAAAGUGGGGACCUUCGGGCCUCAUGCCAUCAGAUGUGCCCAGAUGGGAUUAGCUAGUAGGUGGGGUAACGGCUCACCUAGGCGACGAUCCCUAGCUGGUCUGAGAGGAUGACCAGCCACACUGGAACUGAGACACGGUCCAGACUCCUACGGGAGGCAGCAGUGGGGAAUAUUGCACAAUGGGCGCAAGCCUGAUGCAGCCAUGCCGCGUGUGUGAAGAAGGCCUUCGGGUUGUAAAGCACUUUCAGCGGGGAGGAAGGCGAUAAGGUUAAUAACCUUGUCGAUUGACGUUACCCGCAGAAGAAGCACCGGCUAACUCCGUGCCAGCAGCCGCGGUAAUACGGAGGGUGCAAGCGUUAAUCGGAAUUACUGGGCGUAAAGCGCACGCAGGCGGUCUGUCAAGUCGGAUGUGAAAUCCCCGGGCUCAACCUGGGAACUGCAUUCGAAACUGGCAGGCUAGAGUCUUGUAGAGGGGGGGUAGAAUUCCAGGUGUAGCGGUGAAAUGCGUAGAGAUCUGGAGGAAUACCGGUGGCGAAGGCGGCCCCCUGGACAAAGACUGACGCUCAGGUGCGAAAGCGUGGGGAGCAAACAGGAUUAGAUACCCUGGUAGUCCACGCCGUAAACGAUGUCGAUUUGGAGGUUGUGCCCUUGAGGCGUGGCUUCCGGAGCUAACGCGUUAAAUCGACCGCCUGGGGAGUACGGCCGCAAGGUUAAAACUCAAAUGAAUUGACGGGGGCCCGCACAAGCGGUGGAGCAUGUGGUUUAAUUCGAUGCAACGCGAAGAACCUUACCUGGUCUUGACAUCCACAGAACUUUCCAGAGAUGGAUUGGUGCCUUCGGGAACUGUGAGACAGGUGCUGCAUGGCUGUCGUCAGCUCGUGUUGUGAAAUGUUGGGUUAAGUCCCGCAACGAGCGCAACCCUUAUCCUUUGUUGCCAGCGGUUAGGCCGGGAACUCAAAGGAGACUGCCAGUGAUAAACUGGAGGAAGGUGGGGAUGACGUCAAGUCAUCAUGGCCCUUACGACCAGGGCUACACACGUGCUACAAUGGCAUAUACAAAGAGAAGCGACCUCGCGAGAGCAAGCGGACCUCAUAAAGUAUGUCGUAGUCCGGAUUGGAGUCUGCAACUCGACUCCAUGAAGUCGGAAUCGCUAGUAAUCGUAGAUCAGAAUGCUACGGUGAAUACGUUCCCGGGCCUUGUACACACCGCCCGUCACACCAUGGGAGUGGGUUGCAAAAGAAGUAGGUAGCUUAACCUUCGGGAGGGCGCUUACCACUUUGUGAUUCAUGACUGGGGUGAAGUCGUAACAAGGUAACCGUAGGGGAACCUGCGGUUGGAUCACCUCCUUA